RNAcentral lists this long non-coding RNA (5169 nucleotides) under Bemisia tabaci. Its description in RNAcentral is "lncRNA ENSSSA1UGG007333". Lineage: Eukaryota; Metazoa; Arthropoda; Insecta; Hemiptera; Aleyrodidae. The record is from RNAcentral.
AUGGUUUGGUCUCCGGUGCCGACGGUUUGGUUUCCGGUUCCGGCGGUUUGGUUUCCGGUUCCGACGGUUUGGUUUUCGGUUCCGGCGGUUUGGUUUCCGGUUCCGGCGGUUUGGUUUCCGGUUCCGGUGUUCUGGGUUUCGGUGGGAGACUUCAUCACGGCGGCAUCGGUUGAACUGGGAUUGACAGUAGAUUUGGCUGCCGAGCUGUUGGCUGCUUUGGCAGAGUCGUUCAUCGGAUCACUGAUGCUCACCGGUUGCACUGACGUAUUUAGCAAAGCAACAGACUUAGGUAGCUCAUUGAAGGAAGUUAUUGCGGGCUGAGUGGAAAUGUUUGUCGCAGGGAUAGCGGGAAUUAAAACUGGUUUUGCGGGUGGAUUUAUGACCGGAAGUUGGCUCACUGGGACUGAUGCCUUGACUGGGUCACUUACUGCGUUCGUGGCAACUUGGGAUUUUGGCGGGCUGUUGAUUUCCGGCUUCGUGAUCGUCAGAGCAGGCGUAUUCGAAGGUUCAACAGAGUGGUUCUAAGGACACAUUUAAACCGUUGAGACUAAAAUAUUCAUUGAGACAUGGUCGAUAGAAAAAGAGGGAGGUCAAAUAAGUGGCGAGACUAUGCAAUUACGCACGACGGAAGUUAGAAACCACUAGGGCCGGAUUUAGGGGAUGGCCGCGGCUCAUGCUUGGCGGCAAAUCUAGGGGGCGGCAAAUUUGCAAUUUUUUCAAAUGUAGGCAUAAAAAAAUCGGACUUAGAAAAAAAUUACAAACAAGAAAAGGCGACAAAAUCUCUCAUUUCAUGAGAGUAUAGUAAUUUCUAAUUUUGUCGCGUCUUUCAGUGAUACAAGAAACAGCACUUUCAAUUAGUCGAGCUAAGGGAGAAACCAAACACGCACUUUGGCCUGGAACGCCGCGGCUUAGAGAGAAAUGAUGACGAGGACUCGAGAUGAAAAGGAGAAGCCCUCGGCGCGGCGGGCGGCAUGUAGUAACACUUAUUAGCGCCUACAAGACUGCAUGAAUACUUCACGCAUUGCGCCAAACACGGUGCGGUCUGCGCGGCGCGGCGCACUAUGGUCCCAUAGCCCGAUUUAAGCGGCAUUAAAUCAGAUAUGUAUGAUCAUACCUUGCAAAAUGAGUUAUUACGGGUUUUUGGGGUCGCUGAGUGCAAAUAUGCUAAUAUUUUUCAGAAAAAAUCCAUUUUUAACAUUUUUAUACUUUUGUAUAACUGUAGUAAUAUUUUGUACAAAAACCUUAAAUUGAGGCGAGUUUACCAACGUGAUGCGGUGGUGUAGUGGACAUCGCAUCUCAUUCAACAUCCGUAGAUCCCGGGUUCGAUUCUCGGAAGAAUUUUUUUUUUUUUUAUAAGUUCAAAAAUUAAAUUUUGCAUUGAAUGGACUAUAAGAAGCUAAAAGUAGAACUUCGUCGAACACCACUGUCAAGGGAACUUGAAAAAGACAGCUCAGAAUAAUACUUCAAAGUUUCAUGGCUCCGGAGCCCUACUUUCAAGUCCCGCCGAUCAGCCGUUUGAACUCGUUUUCGUCUGCCAAGCUGAACUUAAGCUUACAUAUAUCUAUUCUGAUACAUUAUAUGUUUGAAACAUGGUAAAACGUCAAAAAAAAACUUUUACGGGACCUCAAAGAGGCUUCCCAAGACGAUUUCAUCGCUCGGGAGCCUUUCUUUUAAGUCCCACCGAUCAACCGUUUGAACUUGUUUUCGUCUGCCAAGCUAAACUUGAGCUUACAUAUAUCUAUUUUGAUAGACUAUAUGUUUAAAACAUGGUAAAACGUCAAAAAAAAACUUUUACGGGACCUUAAAUUGGCCUCUCGAAGCGAUUCUUCGCUGUUCUUGAGCAUAAGUUUCAAUUCCUCCCGAUCAGCCCCAUCAACUCAUAUUAUUCUGCCUGGGCAAAUGUAGACUCCAGAGCAUACGUCUUGAUAGAAUAUGACAAUGGAACAUCAUAAAAUGCAUGGUGAAUGGCAUAUGAUAGCUAAUAGUAGUAAGUGCUAUGGAACGCGAAAACGUCAUUUUUCAUGAGAAACAACUUGAGGGUAUUGUAUGGUAUUGAUCUGCCACUCAGACUAAAAGGUAGUCUAGAGUCAUGACAAUAACUUCCGAGUAAAAUUACGAGGUGCUCAGAGGUGCAAAGUAUAUUUUUUGGGUCCUACUUCUGCGAUUUUAUUGAAAAAAACUGACUAUGUCUAAGGGUUAAUCUAGAGCAUUAGAUAUGAUAAAAAAGAAUACUUUCAGCAUGAAACAUUUUAAACUUCCCUUAUAUUUUGUGAAUCAAGUGCCCAAACUCUUUCAGGUACGGCGAAACAACGCAAACAAGCCCUUAAACACAGCACUGCCGCUCGGUAACUGGAAUCGUACUCAAAAGUGCUCCGCGCGCCGCACUUCCCAGGCUCGUCACAUCUUUAUUAGUGCUUCAAUCGAGCUGAUAUUUUACAGGGGUCUUCUCUACAGUAUAUACCAUCGAUCUACGUCUUAAAAUCGAACUUUUACAAACUUCAUUUUUUCGAUUUAUUGCCGCUUAAAUCGGGCUAUUGGACCAUAGUGCGGCGCGGCAGCGGAAGUUAAAAUUUUUAACAACAUUUAUGUUUGUUCUUUCAUAAUUUUUUCGUUCUUUUAAUAUAAAUGGAAGGCCUUGUCCGCACAGAGGUAGGUUUACGGAACUUAACUUUGGGCUGAAGUUCCAUUAACUUUUGCUAGUAGUGUUAACGGGGCUUUCGCAAAAAAUGUUUCCAUCACGAGUAAACGCGUCUUAUGCACCCCUCCCCCUCCGGCACGUUCACUUGAUGGUUUUUAUUGAUGUUUCAAAACGAAUGAGAAGAAGGCGGCAAAAUACAUGCGGCCCAUGGGCGGUAAGCAGGUAAAUCCGGCCCUGCUGGAAACCACGCACGUGUCUCGCCUCGCUCCUUCGCAGAUUCCAUGUGCUUCACGUUUCUCGAAUAUUACUUAUAGUUGUUAAUUCUCUUCAGGUAAUAGAAAUGUGAGUCAUAACCGUUUUUAAAUCUAUUCAUUUUCAAGUCCUUGCGAUAAAAAAGUUCUAUGCUUUUCAUUUUUUAACAGGUCGUCACCCUCUGGUCGAAGUAGGUAUUACAAGCGCCAUUUGCACUUAGGCACCAACUUGUCAAACUUCGCAAACUUGUCCAAAUUUUUACAGGAAAACUUAAUAACAAAAUCACCAGAAAAUUUUAUCUAAUAUUUUCGUUGCCAAGUUUAGGGCAUAUAUGUGCAAAAGUUUUAAGAAGGAACUUAAAAUAAUAUAUUGAGAUGUCCAAUAACGUAGCGCCUAGGCUUAAAUGGCGCUCAUGAUACUUCGACCAAAAGGUAGCGAAAUGAGGAAACGCGGAUUUUAAAUUCACAGCCGAGAAGGGUACAUCUCACACCUGUGGCUUAGACGUAACUACACUCGCAGAGCGGCGGCAUUGCCGCUCGAGUCGAAUUUCUACGACUUUCUCGCUAAUUGCGAGUAUAUAAAGCGGAGAAACGAGUACACAAGUCGAAUAGCCGCUUAUGUCGAAAUUUUCAUUGGUCCCCCGACUUUCGACUUAAGGUAAUUCGACGGUUGCCAUUUUUUGUGUCAGAGCGACGUGCGAUACAUCGCAUCAAUUCGUUCUAUAAUUUCAGCUACUUGUAAUUUUUUUGAAUUUGGAGAUCGCCUUUCUGUUAUAAUUGUGUGAGACUAGAGAAUUCAUGUACCAAAUUUGACAAAGAAAUUGAACGUAAUAAAGACAGGUUUUUUAGCGGAAAAAUAUCGAAUUCAAUACUGACAUCGAAACUGCACUCGAAUAUAUGCGACAUUUUUCCUCUGAAAAACCCUGCCUUUAAUACAUUGAAUAUCCUUGUCAAAUUUGGUACAUGAAUUCUUCAGCCUCAUGACAACAGAGGUGUGAUUCCAAAAUUCGAAAAAAAUGACAAGUAGCUGAAAUUAUGGAACAAAUUAAUGCGAUAUAUCGCACGUCGGGGUGGGGAGGCGAUCGCCUCCUAAUAACUUGCCGCAGAGAUCCCGAAGGGGCCCCCGCAGCGAAUUUUUUUCGAGUCAUCGUUUUUUCCCCGUAAUGUUGUAAUUUUCCUAUCCUUUCCAGUCACUUAAAGGCUCCAAAAUCCUUGAAAAUUUGUCUCUAAGAGACAUGAAAGGUCGCCUGAAGCUUAUGUGAUGAAGGGGCUCCCGAAGAAUCCUGAGAGUAGGUUAUUCUGAAGUUCAAGUACUGUAGAAUUUAACUCCAAUAAUGCUUAAAAUUGCGUUUAAAAAGUGCGAAAUUUUCAAAAUUUUCCGGGAGAGGGCCCCCCGAACGACAAGGGGACCCUCAAAUCUAGGUUGCCUCCUAACUUUUCGACUACCAGUCCGCCUCUGCACGUCACUCUGACACAAGAAAUGGCAACCGUCAAAUCACCUUAAUGAGCUUUUAUUAUAUUAGUGAUCCGUGACUCUGUAUUGCAUACACACAAAAUUGAAGGCGCUCUGGCUUCUUCAUUCCAACGCUUGGAAGUAUCUGAUAGAGAACGAGAGAAAAAGAAAGACAAGAUGAGGAAAAUAGAGAGGGAGAAAAGGGGGCAAGAAAUUAAGUAGAAAGAAGAUUGAAUGAAAUGAACAUCGGGCAAUGAGAACUCACUGGAACAGGUGAUUUUGCUGCGUUCGAUGGCUCCACUUUCGCCAACACUGUCGAGCUCGUCUGCCGCGGGAGCUCAAAUUUUGCCGGAGGAUUUGUCAACGCGGGCGUUGUCGAUGUUUUUGGUGAGUCACUCACGCUCGUGUUGGCCCCCGAAACCGAGCCUCCUUGGACAUCCUUCGGCGUCCCUAGGGUGCUCCCGGGCAGUCCUGCGCUCGCUUGGUUGUCAUCUGUCUUCCUGAUCAGAUCGUUGGGAAUCGUCGCGGCGGAGACCCGAACGGGAUCGCUCUUAGCCUUCGGCACUGACGUCUCCACAACGGUUUGGCAGUCUGGUUCGACGAGACACUCCCUAAUAGCACACCCAAAAACAAGUAUGCUUUAAAAACAUUUUGAAUUGGUCUUAGGAAAGAUAUUUGUGUAAAGACGAAUAAUAAAUGUUUUAUAGCUAUCUUCAUGGGCGUAGCUAGGGGGGUCCGGGGGGGCCUGCCCCCCAGAAAUCUCGUGCCCCCCCCCAGAAUAACGGGAUCCUCCAUUCCUCUCCCCCCGCUCUCUUCACCACGAGAGG